RNAcentral lists this ribosomal RNA (253 nucleotides) under uncultured bacterium. RNAcentral describes it as "partial 16S ribosomal RNA". It matches the Rfam family "Bacterial small subunit ribosomal RNA", at positions 524 to 776 of the family's 1533-position model. The record is from RNAcentral.
UACGUAGGUGGCAAGCGUUGUCCGGAUUUACUGGGCGUAAAGAGCGCGCAGGCGGUCGUGCAAGUCGCGUGUGAAAGCCCCCGGCUCAACUGGGGAGGGUCACGCGAUACUGCUCGACUUGAAGGCAGGAGAGGGAAGUGGAAUUCCCGGUGUAGUGGUGAAAUGCGUAGAUAUCGGGAGGAACACCUGCGGCGAAGGCGGGUUGCUGGGCUGAUACUGACGCUGAGGCGCGAAAGCUAGGGGAGCGAACGGG